Sus scrofa (pig) is the source of this 342-nucleotide non-coding RNA. The record is from RefSeq and is a predicted model, not a curated record. Lineage: Eukaryota; Metazoa; Chordata; Mammalia; Artiodactyla; Suidae.
CGCCUUAACCUGCAGGCGUGUUUCUCGCUAUUCUCUACUCUGUACGGCUCAUCCGUCCUCGAGGAGAAAGACACCUUGAUGUGACAAGAAAUGGCGGAGCGAAGAGUGUUCGCUUGGCAUCUCCUCCUUUUUACGCAAGAGGGCCCCCUACGAAUUCCCCAGCUGCGAGUCUUCACCUGAAGUAGCGUAUUAUCCACCCGGGCGAAGAGCAAACAAGUCGGGUCGCAGGUGAGACUCUGAGAAGCCCCAAGGACUAUUUGUGUUUGGUUUAAAGCAUCGAGUAUGAUUUCUCUAGGGUUGGCCAUAUUGUUUGAGUUCUUGCCAAUAAAAUGUAAGCAGAAA